UACGGGGGGAGCAAGCGUUGUUCGGAUUUACUGGGCGUAAAGGGCGCGUAGGCGGUCAGCACAAGUCAGUUGUGAAAUCUCCGGGCUUAACUCGGAAAGGUCAACUGAUACUGUGCGACUAGAGUGCAGAAGGGGCAACUGGAAUUCUCGGUGUAGCGGUGAAAUGCGUAGAUAUCAGGAGGAACACCGGUGGCGAAAGCGACUCUCUGGGCCGAUACUGACGCUGAGGAGCGAAA
Molecule: ribosomal RNA, 236 nt
Filed under: uncultured bacterium
Lineage: Bacteria
Description: partial 16S ribosomal RNA
Rfam family: Bacterial small subunit ribosomal RNA
Source: RNAcentral